Molecule: ribosomal RNA, 679 nt
Filed under: uncultured marine group I thaumarchaeote
Lineage: Archaea; Thermoproteati; Nitrososphaerota
Description: bacterial SSU rRNA
Rfam family: Archaeal small subunit ribosomal RNA
Source: RNAcentral
CCCUAUGGGGUGCAGCAGGCGAGAAAACUUUGCAAUGUGCGAAGGCACGACAAGGUUAAUCCGAGUGGUUUCUGCUAAAGGAACCUUUUGUCAGUCCUAGAAACACUGAUGAAUAAGGGGUGGGCAAGUUCUGGUGUCAGCCGCCGCGGUAAAACCAGCAUCUCAAGUGGUCAGGAUGAUUAUUGGGCCUAAAGCAUCCGUAGCCUGCUUUGUUAGUUUUCGGUUAAAUCCAUACGCUUAACGUAUGGGCUGCCGGGAAUACUGCACAGCUAGGGAGUGGGAGAGGUAGACGGUACUCGGUAGGAAGGGGUAAAAUCCUUUGAUCUAUUGAUGACCACCUGUGGCGAAGGCGGUCUACCAGAACACGUCCGACGGUGAGGGAUGAAAGCUGGGGGAGCAAACCGGAUUAGAUACCCGGGUAGUCCCAGCUGUAAACUAUGCAAACUCGGUGAUGCAUUGGCUUGAUGCCAAUGCAGUGCCGCAGGGAAGCCGUUAAGUUUGCCGCCUGGGAAGUGCGUACGCAAGUAUGAAACUUAAAGGAAUUGGCGGGGGAGCACCACAAGGGGUGAAGCCUGCGGUUCAAUUGGAGUCAACGCCAGAAAUCUUACCCGGAGAGACAGCAGAAUGAAAGGUCAAGCUGAAGACUUUACCAGACAAGCUGAGAGGAGGUGCAUGGGCC